GACGAACGCUGGCGGCGUGCCUAACACAUGCAAGUCGAACGGAAGUAAGUGCUUCGGUAUUUACUUUAGUGGCGAACGGGUGAGUAACGCGUGAGGAACCUGCCUUUCAGUGGGGGACAACAGUUGGAAACGAAUGCUAAUACCGCAUAAGACCACAGUGUCGCAUGGCACAGGGGUCAAAGGAUUUAUCCGCUGAAAGAUGGGCUCGCGUCCGAUUAGCUAGAUGGUGAGGUAACGGCCCACCAUGGCGACGAUCGGUAGCCGGACUGAGAGGUUGAACGGCCACAUUGGGACUGAGACACGGCCCAG
RNAcentral lists this ribosomal RNA (309 nucleotides) under uncultured bacterium. RNAcentral's name for it is "bacterial SSU rRNA". It matches the Rfam family "Bacterial small subunit ribosomal RNA", at positions 28 to 334 of the family's 1533-position model. The record is from RNAcentral.